This 480-nucleotide ribosomal RNA is filed under the name Triticum aestivum (bread wheat). RNAcentral's name for it is "partial small subunit ribosomal RNA". The record is from RNAcentral. Lineage: Eukaryota; Viridiplantae; Streptophyta; Magnoliopsida; Poales; Poaceae.
AUGGAGUUGCUUAUUUGCAUGUCUGCUUUGAACCCCACCAAUUCAUUUGCUUCUUAUGAUGCACUCAAGGCAAUGAAACUUGCUGAAUUCUACCCCCAGGACAUAUCAAGCAUGGAUUUGGUAAGGCUUGAAUUCCAACUUGAUACUUUUAUUGAUGAUAUGAGACAAGAUGAUAGGUUAAGAUAUGUGCGUAAUAUUGGUGAACUCUCUGUUAUGCUUGUCGGUACAAACAAACAUGUUCUCUAUGAUUUGGUCUACAUGCUUAUCAAAUUGGUAUUGAUCUUACCGGUGGCCACAGCGAGUGUUGAAAGAGUAUUUUCGGCAAUGAAUCUAGUGAAAAAUAAGUUGAGAAAUAGUAUGAGUGAUGAUCUCAUGAACAACUGUUUAGUAACAUUCAUUGAGCGAGACGUGUUCUUGAAAGUAAGCGAGGAAGACAUAGUUGAAGAUUUCAUGGCAAAGGAACGUCGUAGAGUUACUUAG